GAUGAACGCUGGCGGCGUGCCUAAUACAUGCAAGUCGAGCGAACGGACGAGAAGCUUGCUUCUCUGAUGUUAGCGGCGGACGGGUGAGUAACACGUGGAUAACCUACCUAUAAGACUGGGAUAACUUCGGGAAACCGUAGCUAAUACCGGAUAAUAUUUUGCACCGCAUGGUUCAAAAGUGAAAGACGGUCUUGCUGUCACUUAUAGAUGGAUCCGCGCUUCAUUAGCUAGUUGGUAAGGUAACGGCUUACCAAGGCAACGAUGCAUAGCCGACCUGAGAGGGUGAUCGGCCACACUGGAACUGAGACACGGUCAAGACUCCUACGGGAGACAGCAGUAGGGAAUCUUCCGCAAUGGGCGAAGGCCUGACGGAGCAACGCCGCGUGAGUGAUGAAGGUCUUCGGAUCGUAAAACUCUGUUAUUAGGGAAGAACAUAUGUGUAAGUAACUGUGCACAUCUUGACGGUACCUAAUCAGAAAGCCACGGCUAACUACGUG
RNAcentral lists this ribosomal RNA (497 nucleotides) under uncultured bacterium. RNAcentral describes it as "partial 16S ribosomal RNA". It matches the Rfam family "Bacterial small subunit ribosomal RNA", at positions 28 to 507 of the family's 1533-position model. The record is from RNAcentral.